GUCGGGAAAGUCUGUGAGCAUCAGCAACUCCUCCAGGCUUGAGGCCGACCUCACGUCCCUCUCCCACUUUUCCAGGUUCCCUGUCUGUCAGGGGGGUUACAAAGCUCACAUUCUGAGGCUUGGACUACGGCUGUGGAUUCAGAAAAACGAGGAUAUUCAGUUGGACCAGGAAGGCCAAAGAGCGGCAUCUGCUGCUUAAUGAGAGGACGUGUAACAUGGAGGGGCCCUCUUUGCUCUCUAACUUCAAAGCCACGCAAUCAGCACGUGGCACCAUGGCAGCAUCGGUAACAGGAUCGCAGUGACCGACAGCGUGCUCUUGCACUCGAAAACAAAGAGCCUUUGACAGAACCGUGACUGCAGGGCACCCAGUGAGAGGCAUCACCUGCAGAUCCCCAGGGCCGAGUCUUCCACUGUGUCCAGAGCUGUCCUCAUGAGCAGAAACGCCCUGUAAGAGGUAGGUCACCUACACGAGGCCACCGUGGAGACCAUUAGAAGCACAGCCACAAAGGGGGAAACUGCUGUUACGGAAGGUCUUCACGUUUCCAUGGUGACCGUGUAAAACAUUUGCAUGUUCAUGUUGAUAACAGCCAGUUUUUAAACAUUUAACCAUUAUGUUUCAUAGAGUGAUCCCCACACAAAAAUUCCAGAAAACACCAUAGUUUAGUUUGUUAAAAUAUGCCGCAAAAAAACGAUGCGAACAGGCUGAAGGGUAUGUGCCAGGGUGACGACUUGACUGG
Paramormyrops kingsleyae is the source of this 737-nucleotide long non-coding RNA. RefSeq lists it as uncharacterized. NCBI's taxonomy places the organism in Eukaryota, Metazoa, Chordata, Actinopteri, Osteoglossiformes, Mormyridae. The record is from RefSeq and is a predicted model, not a curated record.